RNAcentral lists this ribosomal RNA (449 nucleotides) under uncultured Sphingobacteriales bacterium. Its description in RNAcentral is "bacterial SSU rRNA". It matches the Rfam family "Bacterial small subunit ribosomal RNA", at positions 933 to 1382 of the family's 1533-position model. Lineage: Bacteria; Pseudomonadati; Bacteroidota; Sphingobacteriia; Sphingobacteriales. The record is from RNAcentral.
AGGAACAGUGUGGUUAAUUCGAUGAUACGCGAGGAACGUUACCUGGGCUUAAAUGUAGAGUGCAUUUUUUAGAGAUAGAAAUUCCCUUCGGGGCUUUCUGCAAGGUGCUGCAUGGUUGUCGUCAGCUCGUGCCGUGGGGUGUCGGGUUAAGUCCCAUAACGAGCGCAACCCUUAUCGUUAGUUGCCAGCUGGUAAAGCAGGGGACUCUAGCGAAACUGCCACCGUAAGGUGAGAGGAAGGUGGGGAUGACGUCAAAUCAGCACGGCCCUUAUGUCCAGGGCUACACACGUGUUACAAUGGCCGGCACAGAGGGCAGCUACCUGGUGACAGGAUGCUAAUCUCGAAAACCGGUCUCAGUUCGGAUCGAAGUCUGCAGCUCGACUUCGUGAAGCUGGAUUCGCUAGUAAUCGCGCAUCAGCCAUGGCGCGGUGAAUACGUUCCCGGGCCUU